Molecule: unclassified non-coding RNA, 209 nt
Filed under: Melitaea cinxia (Glanville fritillary)
Lineage: Eukaryota; Metazoa; Arthropoda; Insecta; Lepidoptera; Nymphalidae
Description: misc RNA ENSMCXG00005016780.1
Source: RNAcentral
AUUAAAUGGUGCAAAAACAAUACCAAAGUAAACAAAAAAUCUGAAGGAAUAUCGUUUCACACGUUUCCAACGAAUAUUUUAAUAAGAGGUGAAUGGGUAGCGGCUGUAAGACUGAGAAAAUGACCACGACUAUGCUGGCCAUGCGCAUAAAGUCAAUUUAAUACGAUUAGUGAUUGAAAAAUAUUUGAACAUAAGACUACAUCAUAUUA